Molecule: ribosomal RNA, 465 nt
Filed under: uncultured bacterium
Lineage: Bacteria
Description: partial 16S ribosomal RNA
Rfam family: Bacterial small subunit ribosomal RNA
Source: RNAcentral
GAUGAACGCUGGCGGCGUGCUUAACACAUGCAAGUCGAACGGAAAGGCUCCUGCUUGCAGGGGAACUCGAGUGGCGAACGGGUGAGUAACACGUGGGUGAUCUGCCCUGCACUUCGGGAUAAGCCUGGGAAACUGGGUCUAAUACCGGAUAGGACGAUGGUUUGGAUGCCAUUGUGGAAAGUUUUUCGGUGUGGGAUGAGCUCGCGGCCUAUCAGCUUGUUGGUGGGGUAAUGGCCUACCAAGGCGUCGACGGGUAGCCGGCCUGAGAGGGUGUACGGCCACAUUGGGACUGAGAUACGGCCCAGACUCCUACGGGAGGCAGCAGUGGGGAAUAUUGCACAAUGGGCGCAAGCCUGAUGCAGCGACGCCGCGUGGGGGAUGACGGCCUUCGGGUUGUAAACUCCUUUCGCUAGGGACGAAGCGCAAGUGACGGUACCUGGAGAAGAAGCACCGGCUAACUACGUG